This 80-nucleotide small RNA is filed under the name Olleya namhaensis. RNAcentral describes it as "Flavo-1 RNA". It matches the Rfam family "Flavo-1 RNA". The record is from RNAcentral. Lineage: Bacteria; Pseudomonadati; Bacteroidota; Flavobacteriia; Flavobacteriales; Flavobacteriaceae.
UUGCGUUAGGGAUAGUAGUGGCAUCCUUUUUUUGCUGCCAUAAAUGGCAAAAAAAGAUAUAACGGAUAGCGCGACCCUUA